RNAcentral lists this small nuclear RNA (18 nucleotides) under Arabidopsis thaliana (thale cress). Its description in RNAcentral is "snRNA_01458". The record is from RNAcentral. Lineage: Eukaryota; Viridiplantae; Streptophyta; Magnoliopsida; Brassicales; Brassicaceae.
UUUAAGUACUUUUUCGGG